Molecule: ribosomal RNA, 245 nt
Filed under: uncultured Actinomycetales bacterium
Lineage: Bacteria; Bacillati; Actinomycetota; Actinomycetes; Actinomycetales
Description: partial 16S ribosomal RNA
Rfam family: Bacterial small subunit ribosomal RNA
Source: RNAcentral
UGCUCGAGUGGCGAACGGGUGAGUAACACGUGAGUAACCUGCCCUUGACUUUGGGAUAACUUCAGGAAACUGGGGCUAAUACCGGAUAGGAGCUCCUGCUGCAUGGUGGGGGUUGGAAAGUUUCGGCGGUUGGGGAUGGACUCGCGGCUUAUCAGCUUGUUGGUGGGGUAGUGGCUUACCAAGGCUUUGACGGGUAGCCGGCCUGAGAGGGUGACCUGCCACAUUGGGACUGGGAUACGGCCCAG